Molecule: ribosomal RNA, 155 nt
Filed under: Cinnamomum osmophloeum
Lineage: Eukaryota; Viridiplantae; Streptophyta; Magnoliopsida; Laurales; Lauraceae
Description: 5.8S ribosomal RNA
Rfam family: 5.8S ribosomal RNA
About the family: 5.8S ribosomal RNA (5.8S rRNA) is a component of the large subunit of the eukaryotic ribosome. It is transcribed by RNA polymerase I as part of the 45S precursor that also contains 18S and 28S rRNA.
Source: RNAcentral
GACUCUCGGCAACAGAUAUCUCGGCUCUUGCAUCGAUGAAGAAUGUAGCAAAAUACGAUACUUAGUGUGAAUUGCAGAAUCCCGUGACCCAUCGAGUCUUUGAACGCAAGUUGCGCCCGAGGCCACUCGGCCGAGGGCACGCCUGCCUAGGCGUC